GAGACUCAUAAUCAGAUUAAUCUCACGUUUUUAAUCUUUAGUCUCACAUUGAUGAGGCAAAAAGCCCGUGUGGGGAACGAACUAGAAGCGUCGUGUAAUGGUCUUAAUAGAUAUUAAUGUGAACCGCAGCGCUCAAAAAACUUCAUAAAAAUAAUGUCAAGGACGAAACAAGAACAGGAAACCUAAUAACACGAAGGACACGUGGGUCAGAUCGGUCUACGCUACGCCAGGGAUCGGGCGAAGAACACGUUGGUCCUCAGCCAAGGUUCAGAAUUAACCCAAUCACUACCAGCACCACAAAGAUCAAGGGCAGUACAACAGCGAGGACGAUGAUACUUGAGGAAGAAUCUACAAAAAG
Long non-coding RNA from Acipenser ruthenus (sterlet), 358 nucleotides. RefSeq lists it as uncharacterized. Lineage: Eukaryota; Metazoa; Chordata; Actinopteri; Acipenseriformes; Acipenseridae. The transcript is spliced from 3 exons. The record is from RefSeq and is a predicted model, not a curated record.